UACAGAGGUCUCAAGCGUUGUUCGGAUUCAUUGGGCGUAGAGGGUGCGUAGGUGGCGCGGUAAGUCGGGUGUGAAAUUUCGGAGCUUAACUCCGAAACUGCAUUCGAUACUGCCGUGCUUGAGGACUGGAGAGGAGACUGGAAUUUACGGUGUAGCAGUGAAAUGCGUAGAGAUCGUAAGGAAGACCAGUGGCGAAGGCGGGUCUCUGGACAGUUCCUGACACUGAGGCACGAAGGCCAGGGGAGCAAACGGG
RNAcentral lists this ribosomal RNA (253 nucleotides) under uncultured bacterium. RNAcentral describes it as "partial 16S ribosomal RNA". It matches the Rfam family "Bacterial small subunit ribosomal RNA", at positions 524 to 776 of the family's 1533-position model. The record is from RNAcentral.